CUGCAGACUCUGCAUUAGUCAACUGAAGAAAUUCAGCUGUUUUCUACCUUUUUUGUUCAUUUAGUUUCAAGAAAAGCCACCUGUUCACUCCCAGAUGUUGCUAAGGGCGCACAAAGGAUCUGCAGAGGCAUUAAUUCUCACAACCACCGUUAAUGCUGUAUCUUUCCUAACAGACAAGUGGAGCAUUUUAAGCUGCCCGAAAUUGGGACUGUUUCCAAAAGCUUUGUUGGUGCUGGGCAGAGCUCUAAUCACCCCUGACACUGCCAUCUGAAUACCGCACCUCCAGCUGUUCCUGUGGCAACAAGCUGCCUUGUGUAACUAAUCAAGUGAUAAGGCUAGAAGAAGGGGACCACACAGAACACCAAUGAGUUACACCAGCUGCCGCUCUGUAACAGGCAUUAGACUGCAGAGGUUAAGCUUCCAUCUGAGGAUCGCAAGGGGAUUUUGGCAAAAAUUUCUCACUGCUGUAAACUCCACCAAUGGCAAGACUAAGGUCCAGAUUCUCAAAGAUUGGGACAGAAGUAAUUUAAGACACAGACAACACUCAGGAAAUCUCACUGAAACUAACUUGCUUCAUAUGGACCUGUAUUAAAGGCAAGAAAUCUCUCAGCAGGAAAGACGGAGGAGGAGAAUGGAAGGAUGGAAGAAGCGCUGGAAGAACCAACUGUUGGACUUGAAGACAUUACUGCAACAUGAAAAAAAGAGGUGAUCGU
Molecule: long non-coding RNA, 713 nt
Organism: Mauremys reevesii (Reeves's turtle)
Lineage: Eukaryota; Metazoa; Chordata; Testudines; Geoemydidae
Exons: 8
Source: RefSeq, a predicted model, not a curated record